This 24-nucleotide non-coding RNA is filed under the name Arabidopsis thaliana (thale cress). Lineage: Eukaryota; Viridiplantae; Streptophyta; Magnoliopsida; Brassicales; Brassicaceae. The record is from RNAcentral.
CCUAGAGAUGCAAGGCGAAGCCUG